UCAGACGAUGCGUCAUGCAUAUCAAUAAGCGGAGGAAAAGAAACUAACAAGGAUUCCCCUAGUAACGGCGAGUGAAGCGGGAAGAGCUCAAAUUUGAAAUCUUAAAGGGUUUCCCUUUACGAAUUGUAGUUUAAAGAAGUGUUUUCUGUUGAGGUUUUGGUAAAAGUUCUUUGGAAUAGGACAUCAUAGAGGGUGAGAAUCCCGUAUUUGACCUUUACUUUCAACUUUGUGAUACACUUUCAAAGAGUCGGAUUGUUUGGGAAUGCAGUCCAAAAUGGGUGGUAAAUUUCAUCUAAAGCUAAAUAUUGGCGAGAGACCGAUAGCGAACAAGUACCGUGAGGGAAAGAUGAAAAGAACUUUGAAAAGAGAGUUAAACAGUACGUGAAAUUGUCAAAAGGGAAGCGUUUGACACCAGUGUUGUUUUUCUGAAAAUCAAUUAAAGAACUGUUUAUGCUAAGUUGUUUAGACUUUAUCAGCUAUCUGUUUAGUUUUGAGCUUUUCUUUAAUGCACUUUUCAGUUAACAAGUCAACAUCAAUUUCUUUUGCUGUAAAAAAGCUUGAGGAAGGUGGCUUGAGAUUCGUCUUAAGUGUUUAUAGCCUCUUGCCUAUGCAGUCGGAGAGAUUGAGGUCUGCAGCGUAGAUCCUUCGGGGCUAAAUGCAUUUGUGCUAAGUUAUAGCAUUUCAUAGACAACUUGUUGACUAUGAUUUGUCUUGUAGCUUACUCGCUUAUGUUAUUUUACCUACGCUUAGGAUGUUGAAUCUGUGCGAGACUAC
RNAcentral lists this ribosomal RNA (774 nucleotides) under uncultured Neocallimastigales. Its description in RNAcentral is "partial large subunit ribosomal RNA". It matches the Rfam family "Eukaryotic large subunit ribosomal RNA", at positions 18 to 644 of the family's 3401-position model. Lineage: Eukaryota; Fungi; Neocallimastigomycota; Neocallimastigomycetes; Neocallimastigales. The record is from RNAcentral.